GUCGUAAAACUCUGUUGUUGGAGAAGAACGUGUGUGAGAGUAACUGCUCAUGCAGUGACGGUAUCCAACCAGAAAGCCACGGCUAACUACGUGCCAGCAGCCGCGGUAAU
This 110-nucleotide ribosomal RNA is filed under the name uncultured Pediococcus sp. RNAcentral describes it as "partial 16S ribosomal RNA". It matches the Rfam family "Bacterial small subunit ribosomal RNA", at positions 422 to 524 of the family's 1533-position model. The record is from RNAcentral. Lineage: Bacteria; Bacillati; Bacillota; Bacilli; Lactobacillales; Lactobacillaceae.